CCUACGGGCGGCAGCAGUGGGGAAUAUUGCACAAUGGGCGCAAGCCUGAUGCAGCCAUGCCGCGUGUGUGAAGAAGGCCUUCGGGUUGUAAAGCACUUUCAGCGGGGAGGAAGGCGUUAAGGUUAAUAACCUUGGCGAUUGACGUUACCCGCAGAAGAAGCACCGGCUAACUCCGUGCCAGCAGCCGCGGUAAUACGGAGGGUGCAAGCGUUAAUCGGAAUUACUGGGCGUAAAGCGCACGCAGGCGGUCUGUCAAGUCGGAUGUGAAAUCCCCGGGCUCAACCUGGGAACUGCAUUCGAAACUGGCAGGCUAGAGUCUUGUAGAGGGGGGUAGAAUUCCAGGUGUAGCGGUGAAAUGCGUAGAGAUCUGGAGGAAUACCGGGGCGAAGGCGGCCCCCUGGACAAAGACUGACGCUCAGGUGCGAAAGCGUGGGGAGCAAACAGGAUUAGAUACCCUAGUAGUC
This 464-nucleotide ribosomal RNA is filed under the name uncultured Klebsiella sp. Its description in RNAcentral is "bacterial SSU rRNA". It matches the Rfam family "Bacterial small subunit ribosomal RNA", at positions 338 to 795 of the family's 1533-position model. Lineage: Bacteria; Pseudomonadati; Pseudomonadota; Gammaproteobacteria; Enterobacterales; Enterobacteriaceae. The record is from RNAcentral.